UUCUCCAGCUGUACUUUUUUAUCGUUUCUUUUCUCUUCUUCCUUCCUUCCUUCCUUCCUUGCUUCUUUCAUUCCAACCUUCCUUCCUUCCUUCCCCAGUCUCUCUCACCUUUCGUUCUUACUAAACCACCACGUGUUACCUUUCCACCUUCCUCCCUCCCUCCCUCUCUCCUUCGCUCCUCCUUCACACGUGUCGUACUUCCCUCCCUUCCUUUAUUCCUUCCCUCCUUCCCUUCCACAUCAAAACACCACGCACCUCACCACACACACCCACUUCUUUCCUCCUCUUCCCUUCCACACCUUCCCUUUCCUUUUCUUCUCUACACUCUCAUUCUUCCCUAUUUUUUCUUCGCUUAUUUUGUACAUCCUCAUAUAUUCCUCUUCUUUCUAUCCCUUCUCUUUCAUCUCUUUCCUUUCCUUUCCAAAUCCUCACGCCCUUUCUCUUCUCUUCCCUUCACUUUUCUUUCAUUUACUCACACCUUCCUUUUUAAGCUGCAGAACGAUUUAAGACACUGUAUCAUAAAAAAGGAAAGAAUGCAGGUAGUUACAGCAAAAAAUCGUGUGUAGCAAUAAAUGAAUAUUUUUUAAUCAAUUUUUUUUUUUCAUUCUCUCCUAAAGAUACAUUCAGGAAUACCCGGGAGACAGCACCAGUAUCCUGAUGGAGGGGGAGGAGGAGGAGGAGGAGGAGCAGAGGACAUGGGAGAGGGGCGUGGGAGGAGGGAGGCGUGGCUGGGGACCCCCUAAGGAGUCUGGUGGUGGCGCGGCGUCUGGCGAAGGACUGGCCCAGGCUGAGGGACGCGGCGCCACCCACUCUGAAUGACUGGCACGACAUCGUAGUGGCAGUGGAGGCAGUGGAGGAGGCGCUGAGGGUGGAAGCGGGGAAGGACAUCUACCUGGAGGCCCUGAGGAAUCCUUAGCGUACCUGCACCACCUGUAUCAUCUAGACGCCCUCCACCUGGCACGGGGGCACCUCACCCACACUCGCUAUUACCGCCAGCCUGCACCGCUGCGUGUGGAGGACCUGGUGGGGGUGGCGGUGGCGGCACUGGAGGAGGAAAUGUAUGGGACAGCGGUGGAGUGGCUGACGGCGGCACAACACCUGAAUAAUGAAGGUAAGGGAUUACAGGUGUG
Scylla paramamosain (green mud crab) is the source of this 1130-nucleotide long non-coding RNA. RefSeq lists it as uncharacterized. The transcript has 3 exons. NCBI's taxonomy places the organism in Eukaryota, Metazoa, Arthropoda, Malacostraca, Decapoda, Portunidae. The record is from RefSeq and is a predicted model, not a curated record.